Molecule: long non-coding RNA, 1550 nt
Organism: Pygocentrus nattereri (red-bellied piranha)
Lineage: Eukaryota; Metazoa; Chordata; Actinopteri; Characiformes; Serrasalmidae
Exons: 3
Source: RefSeq, a predicted model, not a curated record
AAUACUUAAUUAUAAUUAUUUGUUAAUUAUCUCUUUCUGCACAACUUCAGGAUUUCAGAGCUCUGAGAGGAGAGUGUCUGUGCUUACAUGUUCAUGGACACACAUACUCAGCAGUUCCACUCCAGUUUGGAUUCUACUUACUUUUGCCUGCCAGCCCCAAAGUGUCAACUAUCCUACGACAUACAGAGCCAUCACACACGUACACACAUACACAAAUAGCUUAGUGUGUAGAGUCAAAGUGCAGCUAAGGGUCGAAUCACCUAAACAGCUGUCCAUCUUAUGUCCUGCGACCACUGGAGACACAGAAACCACACCUUUUGCCUCACUUCGGGCGUACGUGCUGUGGUUCAUUUACAGUCUGAGUAUGUGCGUGUGUGUGUAUUGGAGUGGCUCACUCUGUUCACCCUUGCACUGUCUUGAAGCAGGAAGCAGGCCUGUGCAAUAGCCAUUGUGACACAGUUCAUCAGCCGUGAUUCAGAAUUAGAGGGCAUUGUUGCCAUAGCAGCAGGACUGGAACAGCUCCUAUUAGUAAGACGCAAACAAAGUGAACAGUUUUCAGCUCACUCCUGUCUAACCAGUACUUUUCCAUCUUUCUCUUUAGGUUGAUCUUCUGCUCGUCACUGCGAUGGAGUGACGGUUGUACUCAGAUCAGAUCAGAUCAGCAGCAGCAAAGGAGGAGAAGAAGGAUGAGUUGUCCCUUUAACAUCUAAAAUGGCCAAGGUCUGCUUGACAUCAGGGUCACUCAAAUGGGCAAGAGGAUACGGAGAAGAAGCACGGCAGCUGCCAAAACCGAUAAAUCCGACAAAGCAUGGAGAACACAGAGUACUGAGAACUCAUGUGCAGAGACAGUUCACUUUAAUGACUGACUCAUUCUGAUGUGCACCUGAGCGCCAUAAGGGCUUUUCAAGUGCACACUGGGCCUAAUCAAAAGGUAUAUGACAUUUCCUGAGUCUGAACGCAGUUAAAAACAAAGAAGUGUGGCAUGCGCCCGCCCCCCGGGGCCCGACGAUGAGGGCUGAGAGAGCCGGCAGGAAGACAUGGCCUGAACACUCAGCGGCGGCGAACCUCGGCGAGGACGCUGGAGAGAGAGCCGCGAGUGUGGAGGUAGGUGGAGCGCCAAGCCCGAGCAACGGCGGGGGGAGGACGACGACGCUGGCGCCGGCUACGAGAGGCACCAGAGGGAGGAGCGAGUCCCGAGCUCCGUCGCUCAGGCCCCACCCUGUGUUACACGGCAAGGCCACUACAAUCGACCCAGGCGGCCGAGCUGCCAGCUGGGGGCGGUAACGGAGAGGCGGAGCGGCGAGCUCUGGUUCCCUCUCAGCUCUGGUGCUCUUAAUGAGAGCCAGCUGUAUCUCAUCUGGCCGGCAGCGUGAGCGCUUUUAAAAAGAGAUGAGAAGGAACAGAGAGAGAGAGAGAGGAAAGAGCAGCAGGACAAGACUAUAAGAGCUGAAAUGCUCUAGGAAGAGACUGAAAAGUGGCCAGCUUAGUGUUGUUUGAGUUUACUUUGUUUAUUUUGGGUGAAAUUAAAGUAUGGCUGCUGCAACCUUAAA